AUUGAACGCUGGCGGCAGGCCUAACACAUGCAAGUCGAGCGGAUGAAGAGAGCUUGCUCUCUGAUUCAGCGGCGGACGGGUGAGUAAUGCCUAGGAAUCUGCCUGGUAGUGGGGGACAACGUCUCGAAAGGGACGCUAAUACCGCAUACGUCCUACGGGAGAAAGCAGGGGACCUUCGGGCCUUGCGCUAUCAGAUGAGCCUAGGUCGGAUUAGCUAGUUGGUGAGGUAAUGGCUCACCAAGGCGACGAUCCGUAACUGGUCUGAGAGGAUGAUCAGUCACACUGGAACUGAGACACGGUCCAGACUCCUACGGGAGGCAGCAGUGGGGAAUAUUGGACAAUGGGCGAAAGCCUGAUCCAGCCAUGCCGCGUGUGUGAAGAAGGUCUUCGGAUUGUAAAGCACUUUAAGUUGGGAGAAGGGUUGUAGAUUAAUACUCUGCAAUUUUGACGUUACCGACAGAAUAAGCACCGGCUAACU
Molecule: ribosomal RNA, 478 nt
Filed under: uncultured bacterium
Lineage: Bacteria
Description: bacterial SSU rRNA
Rfam family: Bacterial small subunit ribosomal RNA
Source: RNAcentral